UCGUCUUCUGGUAUACCAACAUAGAAGAUAAUGCCUGCCCAGUGAACUUCUUAAACGGCCGCGUUAGCGUGAGCGUGCUAAGGUAGCGUAAUAAUUAGCCUCUUAAUUGGAGGCCAGUGAAAGGCAACACCAGGAAUUACUGUACUUUAUGUGCCAAAAGAACUUUCUUUCUAAGUGAAAAAGCUUAGAUAAUAACGGAAGACGAAAAGACCCCGCGGAACUUUACCUUUUCUUUUAAACUACCCACAUACACCAAGGUAAAAACAACAAGGUUUGAUUGGGGCAAUCCCGGAACCACCUAAACUUCCGACUCACUUACCACACAACAUUUGAAAUUUGUUUUGGAUUAAAAAGAAGUUACCCCGGGGAUAACAGCGUUAUCCAACUUAAGAGUACACAUCGAAAGUUGGGUUUGCGACCUCGAUGUUGGCUUAAGGACAUCCACAUAAGUGCAACCGCUAUGAAUGGAUAGUCUGUUCGACUAUUAUAACCUUA
Molecule: ribosomal RNA, 495 nt
Filed under: Ensidens sp. MOTU-Rec-15
Lineage: Eukaryota; Metazoa; Mollusca; Bivalvia; Unionida; Unionidae
Description: partial 16S ribosomal RNA
Rfam family: Bacterial large subunit ribosomal RNA
Source: RNAcentral